AAGUGACAUUCACCUGACUGGUGGCCAAUCAGUGGAACAAUCUUCACCAAGGUUGGUUGGCAUCUGAUUGCAGCCUGCAGAGGACUCAUCCAAUGAAGCCAUAAUUUCCUAUGAGGAAGUAGAGAUGCAAGUGGCACAUCUGGGAAUUAACAAGGAUUUGACUCUAAAGAUUUCCCUGGGUCUCUUAAACUCCGCUUCAUUGCCAAAAAGGAGAGUAACCACCAUCAGCUGAGGGUGUGGGACUUUUUCUAACUGCUCCAGCAGCAGCUAGUUUGCAGUUACUAUUGAUGUCUUGGAGAACACCAGGUUUACCUCUCAGGCUUCCUAAGAUUGAAAGGAGGGUGGUGAGAAGUCACAACUCAGGGCUGAGAUUUAACCCUGACUGGUACAAGAUUCUACAUGAUCUGGUAGCUAUACCCCUCAUCAUCUGGAUAUAAACACUCACUGAAUAAAUGGAGUGAUGAAUCAGUGAAGGAAUAGAGACAAAGCCUCA
This is a long non-coding RNA of Chinchilla lanigera (long-tailed chinchilla), 493 nucleotides long. RefSeq lists it as uncharacterized. The transcript is spliced from 4 exons. Lineage: Eukaryota; Metazoa; Chordata; Mammalia; Rodentia; Chinchillidae. The record is from RefSeq and is a predicted model, not a curated record.